GCGCCAGUAGCUCAGUCGGAUAGAGCAACUGCCUUCUAAGCAGUUGGCCGGGGGUUCGAAUCCCUCCUGGCGCGCCA
RNAcentral lists this transfer RNA (77 nucleotides) under Desulfovibrio sp. RNAcentral's name for it is "tRNA-Arg". It matches the Rfam family "tRNA". Rfam says of the family: Transfer RNA (tRNA) molecules are approximately 80 nucleotides in length. Their secondary structure includes four short double-helical elements and three loops (D, anti-codon, and T loops). Lineage: Bacteria; Pseudomonadati; Thermodesulfobacteriota; Desulfovibrionia; Desulfovibrionales; Desulfovibrionaceae. The record is from RNAcentral.